RNAcentral lists this ribosomal RNA (459 nucleotides) under uncultured bacterium. RNAcentral's name for it is "partial 16S ribosomal RNA". It matches the Rfam family "Bacterial small subunit ribosomal RNA", at positions 338 to 795 of the family's 1533-position model. The record is from RNAcentral.
CCUACGGGUGGCAGCAGUGAGGAAUAUUGGUCAAUGGCCGAAAGGCUGAACCAGCCAAGUAGCGUGAGGGAUGAAUGCCCUACGGGUUGUAAACCGCUUUUGUCAGGGAGUAAAGUCACCCACGUGUGGGUGUUGGCGAGUACCUGACGAAAAAGCAUCGGCUAACUCCGUGCCAGCAGCCGCGGUAAUACGGAGGGUGCGAGCGUUAUCCGGAUUUAUUGGGGUUAAAGGGUGCGUAGGCGGGUUAUCAAGUCAGCGGUAAAAUCGUGGGGCUAAACAGCAUCCAGCCGUUGAAAAUGGUGAUCUUGAGUGCGCGAGAGGUAUGCGGAAUGCGUGGUGUAGCGGUGAAAUGCAUAGAUAUCACGCAGAACUCCGAUUGCGAAGGCAGCAUACCGGCGCGCGACUGACGCUGAGGCACGAAAGUGUGGGUAUCGAACAGGAUUAGAUACCCGGGUAGUC